Molecule: ribosomal RNA, 481 nt
Filed under: Pantherophis guttatus
Lineage: Eukaryota; Metazoa; Chordata; Lepidosauria; Squamata; Colubridae
Description: partial 16S ribosomal RNA
Rfam family: Bacterial large subunit ribosomal RNA
Source: RNAcentral
AAAAACAUAACCUUUAGCUAAACAAAUAUUAAAGGCAACGCCUGCCCAGUGAACAAUUAAACGGCCGCGGUAUCCUAACCGUGCAAAGGUAGCAUAAUCAUUUGUCUACUAAUUAUAGACCUGUAUGAAAGGCAAAAUGAGGGUCCAACUGUCUCUUAUAAUAAAUCAAUUAAACUGAUCUCCUAGUAAAAAAGCUAGAAUAACAACAUAAGACCAGAAGACCCUGUGAAGCUUAAACUAAACUAUUAAACCAUAUAAUAAAUACUUUCGGUUGGGGCGACCUUGGAAAAAAAAAGAACUUCCAAGACCCAGCACAGCUGAUAAUUGAACCAAGUUACUCCAGGGAUAACAGCGCAAUCUUCUUCAAGAGCCCAUAUCAAAAAGAAGGUUUACGACCUCGAUGUUGGAUCAGGACAUCCUAAUGGUGCAGCCGCUAUUAAGGGUUCGUUUGUUCAACGAUUAACAGUCCUACGUGAUCUGA